UAGUCCACGCCGUAAACGAUGAUUACUCGCUGUAGGCGAUACACAGUCUGUGGCUAAGCGAAAGUUUUAAGUAAUCCACCUGGGGAGUACGAUCGCAAGAUUGAAACUCAAAGGAAUUGACGGGGGCCCGCACAAGCGGAGGAACAUGUGGUUUAAUUCGAUGAUACGCGAGGAACCUUACCUGGACUUAAAUGUGCGUUGCAUAGAUCAGAGAUGGUCUUUUCUUCGGACUACGUACAAGGUGCUGCAUGGUUGUCGUCAGCUCGUGCCGUGAGGUGUCGGGUUAAGUCCCAUAACGAGCGCAACCCCUAUCCUUAGUUGUCAGCGGGUCAUGCCGGGGACUCUGAGGAGACUGCCACCGUAAGGUGUGAGGAAGGCGGGGACGACGUCAAAUCAUCAUGGCCUUUAUGCCCAGGGCUACACACGUGCUACAAUGGCAAGUACAGAGGGCUGCUAACCUGCGAAGGUAUGCUAAUCCCAGAAAGCUUGUCCCAGUUCGGAUCGG
This 505-nucleotide ribosomal RNA is filed under the name uncultured bacterium. RNAcentral describes it as "bacterial SSU rRNA". It matches the Rfam family "Bacterial small subunit ribosomal RNA", at positions 791 to 1301 of the family's 1533-position model. The record is from RNAcentral.